RNAcentral lists this non-coding RNA (23 nucleotides) under Rattus norvegicus (Norway rat). Lineage: Eukaryota; Metazoa; Chordata; Mammalia; Rodentia; Muridae. The record is from RNAcentral.
UCGUUGGUUUGGGCCUCUCUGAA